GGGGGUAUAGCUUAGUGGUAGAGUGUUUGACUAUAGCUCAAAUAGUCCUUGGUUCAAAUCCAAGUGCUCCUU
Mauremys reevesii (Reeves's turtle) is the source of this 72-nucleotide non-coding RNA. NCBI's taxonomy places the organism in Eukaryota, Metazoa, Chordata, Testudines, Geoemydidae. The record is from the annotation of a RefSeq genome assembly.